AACGAACGCUGGCGGCAUGCCUAACACAUGCAAGUCGAACGAAGGCUUCGGCCUUAGUGGCGCACGGGUGCGUAACGCGUGGGAAUCUGCCCUUUGCUUCGGAAUAACAGUUAGAAAUGACUGCUAAUACCGGAUGAUGUCGCAAGACCAAAGAUUUAUCGGCAAAGGAUGAGCCCGCGUAGGAUUAGCUAGUUGGUGGGGUAAAGGCCUACCAAGGCGACGAUCCUUAGCUGGUCUGAGAGGAUGAUCAGCCACACUGGGACUGAGACACGGCCCAGACUCCUACGGGAGGCAGCAGUGGGGAAUAUUGGACAAUGGGCGAAAGCCUGAUCCAGCAAUGCCGCGUGAGUGAUGAAGGCCUUAGGGUUGUAAAGCUCUUUUACCCGGGAUGAUAAUGACAGUACCGGGAGAAUAAGCUCCGGCUAACUCCGCG
RNAcentral lists this ribosomal RNA (433 nucleotides) under uncultured bacterium. RNAcentral describes it as "partial 16S ribosomal RNA". It matches the Rfam family "Bacterial small subunit ribosomal RNA", at positions 29 to 507 of the family's 1533-position model. The record is from RNAcentral.